UGGAGUUCAAUGGCAUAAUCUCGGCUCACUGCAACCUCUGCCUCCUGGGUUCAAGUGAUUCUCCACCACACCUGGCCGGCAAUUUCUUAAAAUAAGACAACAAUAAAGCUGGCCACAUUGAGCUUCUUCCUUUCACAAAAGAUUUCUCCGUAGCACGCGAUGCUGUUUGGUAGCAUUUUGUCCACAGCAGACCUUCUCUCACAACUGGAAAAUCCUCUCGAACCCUAUCGCUGCUGUACCAACGAAGUUUAUGGAAUAUUCUAAAUCCUUUGUUAUCUCAGCAAUGUUUAGAGCAUCUUCACCAGGCGCAGAUUCCAUCUCAAGAAAGCACUUUUGCUGGGUGCGGUGGCUCACACCUGUAAUCCCAGCACCUCGGGACACUGAGGCGAACGGCGGGCAGAUCACUUGAGGCCAGGAGUUCGGGACCAGCCUCGCCAACAUGGUGAAACCCUGUCUCUAAUACAAUACAAAAAUUAGCCGGGCGUGGUGGCGUGUGCCUGUAAUCCCAGCUACUCGGGUGGCUGAGGCAGAAUUGCUUGAACCCAGGAGGCAGAGGUUGCAGUGAGCCGAGAUUGCGCCACUGCGCUCCAGCCUGCGUGAUAUUCAAACUGGAAGAGCAGAGCGAGACUGUCUCGAAAGAAAAACAAAACAAAACAGCUUGAAGCGGCAGGGUUACAGCUCCGCGACGGCCCCUGCAGGCGGGGUGUGCUAGGCAGAGUGUGCUGAGAGCAGCAGCUCAGGACAGUUCUGCAGCCACAUUUACACCCACUUUUAAUUUCAUGCAGAUUAAGGGGCAGCCCAGGCAAAAGUUUCUAGGGAAGGGGUAGUAACUUUUGGGUCGUGGGGUCAUUGCCAUGGAAAGGGGUAGUAACUCCCACCAUGCCUGGCCUGUUUACUUUCACUUCCAGCUUGCCCUUGAAUUGUUUCCUGGGCAAAGCCAGGAACCCUCGAGGGGCUCAGCCCCACUGUGGGUCUUGCCUGCCCUCCAUCAACUAGAAGGGGACGUAGCACUGAGUUAAUCCACCAUUACUUUAAAUGGCAUGGAUACCACUCAUAUAGUAUUGAGAAAAGGAAGUCAGAUACAAAAGAGAACAUGCAAUAUAAUUCCAUUUAUAUAAAGUUCAAAAUAGGCAAAGUGAGUAUGAGGGCUAGAAGAGUGGUGAUUUUAAACCUCCGGGCCUUUGUACACGCUGUUCCAUCUACCAAGGGUGCCCUUUCCUCACACCAUGUAAACGCAAACAUAUGGAUCAAGUUACCUCCUUGCCAGGCGCGGUGGCUCAGUGUCAUCCCAGCACUUUGGGAAGCUGAGCCACCGCGCUCGGCCAGAGUUUCAUCUUGUUGCCCGAACUGGAGUGCAAUGGUGUGGUCUAGGCUCGCUGCAACCUCUGCUUCCCGUGUUCAAGCGAUUCUCCUGCCUCAG
RNAcentral lists this long non-coding RNA (1420 nucleotides) under Pan troglodytes (chimpanzee). Its description in RNAcentral is "long non-coding RNA NONPTRT002916". Lineage: Eukaryota; Metazoa; Chordata; Mammalia; Primates; Hominidae. The record is from RNAcentral.